UACGUAGGGGCCGAGCGUUGUCCGGAUUUACUGGGCGUAAAGAGCGUGUAGGCGGCCAAACAGGUCCGUUGUGAAAACUGGAGGCUCAACCUCCAGACGUCGACGGAAACCGUAUGGCUAGAGUCCGGAAGAGGAGAGUGGAAUUCCUGGUGUAGCGGUGAAAUGCGCAGAUAUCAGGAAGAACACCUAUGGCGAAGGCAGCUCUCUGGGACGGUACUGACGCUGAGACGCGAAAGCGUGGGGAGCGAACAGG
This 253-nucleotide ribosomal RNA is filed under the name uncultured bacterium. RNAcentral's name for it is "partial 16S ribosomal RNA". It matches the Rfam family "Bacterial small subunit ribosomal RNA", at positions 524 to 776 of the family's 1533-position model. The record is from RNAcentral.